UCUCUCCUUCCUCCCUCCCCAGGGCUGAUGGCGGCCGUGCAGCUGGUGGAGUCCGGAGGGGGCCUCCAGACACCCGGGGGGUCCCUCACCCUCCGCUGCAAGGCCUCCGGCUUCACCUUCAGCAGCGUCGAGAUGGACUGGGUGCGACAGGCCCCCGGGAAGGGGCUGGAGUUCGUUGCACGUAUUGGCAACGAUGGUAGUUACACAAACUACGCGCCAUCGGUCAAGGGGCGCUUCACCAUCUCCAGGGACGACUCCCAGAGCACGGUCACGCUGCAGAUGAACAGCCUCCGGGACGACGACACAGCCACCUACUACUGCGUGAAAAUUGCUGAUGGUGAUGGUGCAAAUCUUGACCAUUUUAUCCCCAAAUCUCAAAUGAUUGGCACCAAACCUCAACCAUUUGUGGCCCCAAACCUCCACCCUUCUUGA
Non-coding RNA from Chroicocephalus ridibundus (black-headed gull), 432 nucleotides. The record is from the annotation of a RefSeq genome assembly. Lineage: Eukaryota; Metazoa; Chordata; Aves; Charadriiformes; Laridae.